RNAcentral lists this ribosomal RNA (582 nucleotides) under uncultured Cupriavidus sp. Its description in RNAcentral is "bacterial SSU rRNA". It matches the Rfam family "Bacterial small subunit ribosomal RNA", at positions 53 to 633 of the family's 1533-position model. Lineage: Bacteria; Pseudomonadati; Pseudomonadota; Betaproteobacteria; Burkholderiales; Burkholderiaceae. The record is from RNAcentral.
ACAUGCAGUCCAACGGCAGCACGGGAGCAUCCUGGUGGCGAGUGGCGAACGGGUGAGUAUACAUCGGAACGUGCCCUGUCGUGGGGGAUAACUAGUCGAAAGAUUAGCUAAUACCGCAUACGACCUGAGGGUGAAAGCGGGGGACCGUAAGGCCUCGCGCGAUAGGAGCGGCCGAUGUCUGAUUAGCUAGUUGGUGGGGUAAAGGCCCACCAAGGCGACGAUCAGUAGCUGGUCUGAGAGGACGAUCAGCCACACUGGGACUGAGACACGGCCCAGACUCCUACGGGAGGCAACAAUGGGGAAUUUUGGACAAUGGGGGCAACCCUGAUCCAGCAAUGCCGCGUGUGUGAAAAACGCCUUCGGGUUGUCAAGCACUUAUGUCCGGAAAGAAAUCCCUUGCCCUAAUACGGCGGGGGGAUGACGGUACCGGAAGAAUAAGCACCGGCUAGCUACGUGCCAGCAGCCGCGGUAAUACGUAUGGUGCGAGCGUGAGUCGGAAUUACUGGGCGUAAAGCGUGCGCAGGCGGUUUUGUAAGACAGGCGUGAAAUCCCCGAGCUCAACUUGGGAAUGGCGCUUGUGAC